Drosophila miranda is the source of this 932-nucleotide RNA transcript. It is a transcript of the gene named mitochondrial intermediate peptidase-like, with no coding region annotated. The record is from RefSeq and is a predicted model, not a curated record. NCBI's taxonomy places the organism in Eukaryota, Metazoa, Arthropoda, Insecta, Diptera, Drosophilidae. The transcript has 4 exons.
UCGAGUGAACUAAGUCAACUGAAGAAAUGGGCUUUAUUUCUGGUAUAUGAAUGUCCAAUCAGAAGAGAUUACGACAACUCUAAUCACAGAUCAAAGGUCGGAUACCAUGGAUAGAAAAUGCAUAUAUUUUAAAGAUAAAAUUUAAUACGCUGUGUGUAUGUACAGGCAUAGUGUAAAUCUGGCUGCUGCUUGGUGCACGAGAAGAGUCGCCAGCCCUGGCCGGAACAGCUGAUGGAAUAUGUAACGCAAUCCACAUUGGCCCACAUUCAAGCAGCAUCAUGUUACAAAUGAGUCGCAGCUCCACCCGCGCCACUCUGUUGAGGAUGCGGCACCGGAAGCUAGUCUCCACCUGGUCGCCGCUAGCAACGGCAUUCAAUGCGCCGCCGUCGAAGCGCAUCAACUUUACCCGCGAGGUUGCGGGCCUUUUCCGGAUGCCCGAGCUUUGCACUUUCGAAGGUUUCUAUUUGCUAAGGGACAAUGUGGAGAACAAAUCGCAGGAUCUCAUCGCAGAGGCGAUUUCCAGUCAAAGACAACGCAAAAUGGUCGACAUAUUCGACGAGCUCUCCGACUCCCUGUGCAAGGUAGCCGACCUGGCCGAGUUCAUACGGAUCGCGCACCCCAAGAACAAGUACAUGGAGGCGGCGGAGCAGGCCUGCAUCAGCAUUUGCUGUGUGGUGGAGAGGUGAGGUCAUGCCCAUCAAGAGAUCUAUUCCCGCUCAAAACUGUUUCACCUGCCGGAAGCGGAACGCCUUCGAGUGGUGCGUCUCAACGACUACAUCCUACAGCUGGGGCAGAAGUUCAUGAACGGAGCAGCCUUUUGCUAAAUUGUAAAUUGCAUGUAUUUUAUUGCCAUCGCUGGUUACAUGUUCUAUGGGAUAAAUAACAUGAAAAGGGUUUAAUUUGACUCUAAUGAUUAAACUAUUGGCUCUGUA